AAAGCUUCGUCUCCCUAUGUCCACCAGUCAUCGUCUCUGUCAUCUCUUUCUUGCUCCUCACUCUUCUCCAAUGGCUUCAGCUAUGAUGGAGGACAGUUUCGAAGACGAUCAGCUGGCCUCAAUGACCACCGACGACAUCAUCAGGGCCUCUCGCCUCCUCGACAAUGAGAUCCGGAUCCUCAAGGAUGAGUUACAGCGGACGAAUCUCGAGUUGGAAUCCUUCAAGGAAAAGAUAAAGGAGAACCAGGAAAAGAUAAAACUUAACAAGCAGCUCCCUUAUCUCGUUGGUAACAUCGUCGAGAUUUUGGAGAUGAAUCCAGAAGAUGAGGCUGAGGAAGAUGGUGCAAAUGUUGAUCUAGACUCACAAAGAAAGGGAAAAUGUGUUGUUCUAAAAACUUCUACACGACAAACCAUCUUCCUUCCUGUUGUUGGGUUAGUCGACCCUGAUAAACUUAAACCUGGAGAUUUGGUUGGGGUUAACAAGGACAGCUACCUAAUCUUGGACACCCUUCCUUCGGAAUAUGACUCACGAAUAAAGGCAAUGGAGGUUGAUGAAAAGCCAGCUGAUGAUUACAAUGAUAUUGGUGGCCUUGAGAAGCAGGUAACCCCUACUUCCACAACGUAGGUAUGAGCUUUUUUGUGUUUGUAAUGAAAUUCCACUGCUAAAGAGCCAAUUGCCAUUCUAACUUUCAGAUUCAAUCUUAGUUAUUUUUAUUUCUAUAGAUAUUGCAGUCUUGCGUGAGUCCUCCCUAAGGUUAUUACCUAAGAAAUGCUUACUCUUAUUUCCUUAUUGUAUCUGCUACUAAAUGCUUCUAUUGGUGUCUAUGAAUCCAAGAACUUGUUGAAGCCAUUGUGCUGCCAAUGACACACAAAGACCGGUUUCAGAAAUUAGGGAUUCAUCCACCUAAAGGAGUGCUUUUGUAUGGACCACCUGGAACUGGGAAGACACUGAUGGAUCGUCCAUGUGCAGCACAGACAAAUGCUACUUUUCUGAAGCUAGCAGGACCCCAACUCGUUCAGGAAGAAAGUAUGGCAGCUUUGCCUAGGAGGAGUCGAGAGCGAUAGUUGAUAGGGCUACAUUCCUUAUUGCAGAGCGUGUCAGGAAGUAAUCAUUGUCUGGCAAGACCAGUCAUGUCGAAGUUUAGGUGUUCGUCGAAUUGAUAGAAUCGGAGCAUUAUGGUUGAGUGAGGGGUUAUGACAUUGGAGUUACCCCCACUCAGUUGUUUACAGUGAGCAGAUAUAUUUGAGAUGCCCGACAUAGGUUUGUAGUUUGAAGGCAGCGAUGGAAGAGAUGAGGCAGAGCCAUCUGACAGAGAUGGAGGAGAUGAGGCAGAGCCAUCAAAUAGAGAUACAAUCUUUGAGGGCUCAGCUUGACCAGAUUACAUCUUUGUUGCAUAGGUUUCUGAUGCUUCUAGUACUCAGAGACGAUGAUGAUGAUGCCAUCUAUCCCUGAUAGCUCUUAGACUAUUUAUUUAGGUAUUUUAUAUGUAUAUUUUGUAUAUUUUUCGAACCACAUUAUAAAUGUAAAUUGAGAAUGUAAAUAUAAUUAUAUUUGAUAAUAUGAAUAUUUCGAAAGAUCUGUUUGAUCGUGACAUGUGU
Non-coding RNA from Phoenix dactylifera (date palm), 1599 nucleotides. Lineage: Eukaryota; Viridiplantae; Streptophyta; Magnoliopsida; Arecales; Arecaceae. The record is from RefSeq and is a predicted model, not a curated record.